UAGGGAAUCUUCGGCAAUGGACGAAAGUCUGACCGAGCAACGCUGCGCGAGUGAAGAAGGUUUUCGGAUCGUAAAACUCUGUUGUUAGAGAAGAACAAGGACGUUAGUAACUGAACGUCCCCUGACGGUAUCUAACCAGAAAGCCACGGCUAACUACGUGCCAGCAGCCGCGGUAAUACGUAGGUGGCAAGCGUUGUCCGGAUUUAUUGGGCGUAAAGCGAGCGCAGGCGGUUUCUUAAGUCUGAUGUGAAAGCCCCCGGCUCAACCGGGGAGGGUCAUUGGAAACUGGGAAACUUGAGUGCAGAAGAGGAGAGUGGAAUUCCAUGUGUAGCGGUGAAAUGCGUAGAUAUAUGGAGGAACACCAGUGGCGAAGGCGGCUCUCUGGUCUGUAACUGACGCUGAGGCUCGAAAGCGUGGGGAGCAAACAGG
This 429-nucleotide ribosomal RNA is filed under the name Gemmatimonadota bacterium. RNAcentral's name for it is "Gemmatimonadetes bacterium partial 16S ribosomal RNA". It matches the Rfam family "Bacterial small subunit ribosomal RNA", at positions 355 to 776 of the family's 1533-position model. The record is from RNAcentral. Lineage: Bacteria; Pseudomonadati; Gemmatimonadota.